Molecule: unclassified non-coding RNA, 1184 nt
Filed under: Hevea brasiliensis (rubber tree)
Lineage: Eukaryota; Viridiplantae; Streptophyta; Magnoliopsida; Malpighiales; Euphorbiaceae
Source: RNAcentral
UUUUAAAAGCAAUCAUGUAAACUAUAUAUUUGAAUUCGAUCUGUUGUAAAAUUACAAUCCUUGAUUUAGUAUAUCCAGUUCAAAAGAGAUCCCUAAAGGACAAAGAAAUGACUGUAUCAAACUCAACAUGGAACAAAAACAGAACAAAAAACUCAGCAUGACAUGAAAAUGCAGAAUGCCAAAGAGAAACAUGGUAAAGGUAAUCACGUCCAAUUGGUAUAGCCAAGAUAAGAUAUGUUGUCCACUAGGGAAAAAAGAGGGCUCAUUUUUUCUCAAAGCCAUUGGGCUGAGCUGUAGAUCCUUGUCUUGGCGAAUUGAGCUCCUCCCAAGCUUCAAUCCAAGUAACCAUUGCAUCACCAAGUUUGUGGAAGUAAGGAUCAAUAGGGCCAAGCUUUUCCUUAACCAAUUUGGAAAGCUCAAUGUAGCAUUUCUCCACAGUUGUGCACUCUUUUGGUAGAACAACAGAUUGGAAGAACGGAAUGAUGUCUUCCUGCCAAUAUAUGCCCUUAUAUUCCUUCUUCAAAUUGACAAAUGGGUUACUUGCUUUGCUGUGCCAAAUGUAUGGCAGCCCUGUUUUCACUCCAAGACCCAGAUGGUCACAGAUUACCUGAAAUCCACAUCCAACAAGCAUUACAGAAGCUGCAUCAUGGAGGUGCUAAAAAUGUUAAUUUGGCUGUAACAAGCACAGGAAACAUAUCCAGCAUAUUUUAUUGGGGAUCACCAUCUCCCAAAUAAGAGAUCUAUGAUUAUCAGGAUCUUAUCAAUAGGAAUAAGCAAAUACUCCAAAUGAAAAAUGAUGUCAAAGACAAAUUAAUUCCAAUACAACACAAAUAAUGCAUUGAAGGUACUCAGAAAACACUCAGAAUUUCAAACAACCAAUUUUGUCCCUAAGCCUCCGACUAAUAUUUAGGCAUCAAUCUACAUAUAAGAACAAGGACCAGCAUCAAGUUCAUUAUUCUCGCAGUAAAGUCUUCUGAUCACAUCCUCAAUCAAUCAACAAGGAAAUGCCAUCAGCAAAAACAUUACGCAAUGGCCAUAAUUAUUCAUGCAAACUUAUUAUUAGAAUGCCAGACGUCUAGCCGAGUUUGAAGCAUUACAAAAUGGCAAAAAGUGUGCCAAUUAGAUGGAGAGUGAUUCAAGAGAGCAAAUUUACCUUGGCACACCAGCCAGCCCACAUAUCAUCA